AAGAAAAAAAAAAAAAAACCCUCUACUCAAGUCAUGCAAGGUGGAGAUAGAAAGUUCACACAGUGCAAAACUUCAGGAGUAAAAAAUUCACUGAGUUGGUAGGCUUUAUUUCAUCAUCAUUGAUCUAGUUUCUGAGGUCUUCAUUUUAGUAUUCCAUGAAUGUUCCAUAAGAUGUAAGUGAAAAUUAUAUGACAUAAUGUUACUCCAGUUAUGUGAUAUGAAAUUAAAUCUUAAAGAAUCAAGUAGAAUUUAAAAAGAAACCUAAGAAUCAUCUGUAUCUUAUCAUGUUGAAGGAUAACAAUUGCCCACUCCUGUAUGUACAAUAAUAAUAUGUAGCUAUUAUGCUGAUCAAUAACUAACAAAACAUCUCUCUA
Camellia sinensis is the source of this 374-nucleotide non-coding RNA. The record is from RefSeq and is a predicted model, not a curated record. Lineage: Eukaryota; Viridiplantae; Streptophyta; Magnoliopsida; Ericales; Theaceae.